AACGCCGUUUUUUUUGUUAUACUGCAACUACAUAUUCGUGUAUGCAUAAGUAAUUGCUCAAAGGUCAACAGAUUUUAUUUUCGAAUUAUUAGAUAUUAUAGACUAUGGUGCUUAAAGAUAAUGUAUAAGACUAUACAUUGAUAAUGUUGGACUAGUCGAUUUGAAACAAGUGUUAUAGGCGAUUAUUUCCUGAUGUGCCAAUCAUAUUAAGAAGAAUCCAAGAUUACGUAGGAAAUGGAAAUCUGUAUUUGUAUCGAGAAGUAAUUUAAUUUUUUGAACAAGUGUUUGUUAACAUCUUAGAAUAUUUAGCAUUAAAAAGGCCUAUCUUUAAAAUGUAAUUGAACGAAAUAAAUAUUACAUUUUAACAUGAUUUAGUGGCGGCCCAAGAAUUUGCAUUGGAUUUCAGAUUAUGUAUUAUAAUCAUUGAGAAGUUCUCGCAUUUUACUGUUUCGAGGAACCAAUGUGAACGCUCCGUGCUUCUGAUUUACCGCCGAGGAGACGCUGCAGCAGUCGAAGUCGUUUGAAGUCACACGCGAUUUAUACAUAUUAAACUGAGAUAGUUAAGUAUGAAAUUUAGGUCGGUAUAGCCAGAAUUGAUUGGUUAAGAAUGGAGUUGAUGUUUCGAUUUUGAAUUUACAGUUUAAUUCCUUGUAUAUUCGUAUGUAUGUUUCUAUAAUUGUUGCUGGUUCAUUGAAAUUUCUUACUUGAGUAGCUGAAAUGUUGUUUGGUGAGGGAGAUUGAGUUUAUUUGUGACGUAUUUUAAUAUAUUUUUGUUUUUUUCUAAUUUGAAGUGGAGGUUCUUCUAAAAUGCAUAGAAUGCAAUCUAUAGGGCUGGUACGAAAAACACCUACACCUAAUUGAAUCGCUUGGUUGUGAAUGAGGUUGAGGAUUUGUUUGGUGUUUGAUUUGGCUGAAUUAUAGAUUAUAGAUCCAUAAUCUAUUUUUAAUAGUAUUAGUGCUUUGUAAAUUAAUAGUAAAUUGUUUUUUCAGCUUCCCAUUUAUGACGGGAAAGAGUUUUGAUGAGUUUUAUUUUUUUAUUGCAGUUUGUCUUUAGUUUUUUAGAUGAAGUAUCCACGAAAAUUUACUGUCGAACGUUAGGGCAUUAUUUAUGUAAAUGUGGGAUAGUACAUUAUUAAUUUGGAAUUUUUUGUUUCUGGGACCCAACUCGAGUUUGUCCGCCGUAUGCUAUCAAGUAUUCAGCGUGCAUAUGUGACGAUCACGUGUAAUGUGUGUGGGCAGAGAGGCGCAUGCCAUUGUUACCUAUGCACGCACACACACCUACCCGCGCAUACACACACUGCACGCACAGUGUAAGUUAAUGCAUAAUAUUGUUAUUCAAACGAAUUUUUAAGGUGCACGUCGAUUAUUGACAACGGCCUAUUUGUUUUCGUUCAACUUUCACACGUUGCCGUAACUAGAUGGUAAUUUUUAAUCGUCUUGACUGCCCGUCCUAAGACAAGCGCCAACGUAAAUGUCUCUGCGAAGCAAUGAUCACGAUUCAAGGUUUCUCACCGGUUACCGGCCGUACAAAACACAACACCAUGAAUUUGGAUCCGUAUAGUGUCGAAUCGAUCGAUUAAACUGUUCAUCCGUGUAGAAUUAUUUUCGACGCUUGUUCGCAAUAUACCAAAUAAAUA
This 1637-nucleotide long non-coding RNA is filed under the name Sipha flava (yellow sugarcane aphid). RNAcentral's name for it is "uncharacterized LOC112689318". The record is from RNAcentral. Lineage: Eukaryota; Metazoa; Arthropoda; Insecta; Hemiptera; Aphididae.